GCGCGCGUGCGCGGCCGCCGUGUACUGCUGGCUGCGCCCUCAGUUGCAGACGAGUUGCAGCUCGCGAGCCGUCGUCCGUCGAGGGCUAAGAUGGCGACUACGACGUCGUCGUACACUCGCACGGGCGUGCUUGAAGUGUACGCCAAACAGCAAUGGCACAAAGUGCUAGCGACGCUCGAAGAGGACCAUCUCAGUUUGUGCCUAGACGAGAGCUAUGAAGUACCGCCAAUCACUAAUAACGGCACGCUUUCGGAUAGCGAACCAAGCGACAUCCCGGAAAGCAUCGCCAACACCAAGCGGGUCGUCCGAGUAGUUAAGCAGGACAACAACGGUCUCGGCAUCAGCAUAAAGGGCGGCAAAGAGAACAAGAUGCCCAUCCUCAUAAGCAAGAUCUUCAAAGGCAUGGCAGCAGACACAACGGAACAGCUUUACGUUGGAGACGCCAUCCUGUCGGUCAACGGGGAAGAUCUGAGGGACGCAACACACGACGAAGCGGUCAGGGCCCUCAAGCGUGCCGGCAAGGUUGUUGACUUGGAAGUGAAAUACCUGCGGGAGGUGACGCCCUACUUCCGCAAGGCAUCCGUGCUGGCGGAGAUGGGCUGGGACUUUGCACCAGGCGGCCUGCUGUCCCGGGGAACUGCGGCGUCGCAUCCACAGGGUCGGCCCGACUGCCGGCGCGUGCCACUGCUGCUGUGCCAGCUGGCGCGCUCGCUCACCGUACCAGAGCCGCGUGUGCUUGAACUCCACUCGCCCGACAGGCGCAGCGUGUGCCUGCUUCGCUGCGCUGACGCGGCCCAAUGCUCCGCCUGGUUCAAUGCGCUGCACGCGGCCCUGGCACGCGUCAUGGCGCAGGCCGUAGUUGAGGCCGGACACCUGCUGCGCGAUGUACUCGACCAGGCGCAACUCCAGCACAUGGGCUGGCUCUCCGAGAAGACACGGGAAGAUUCAGUGACGGCACAGUGGCGUGCUGUGUUCGUUGCAAUCACAGACAGGGACCUCCUGUUUUAUGACCUGGUUCCCUGGACCAAGGAGGCCUGGGCUGUGCCUGUGCACAGUGUGCCUUUGCUUCACACUAGGCUUGUGACAACAAGUUCUGGCAGGGUCUCCGUGGGACCAUCAGCUGGGGGUGAGGCAACCACACUGACACUGCGACUUGGCACGCGCCAGGGAGUCCAGUCACGGCUCAUGCGUGUUGAAACCCACCGAGACCUGGCAGUGUGGGCACGCCACCUGGUGCAUGGUGCCCAUCUUGCUGUGGCUGCCGCCAAGGAAGUGCGCUUUGCCUGUCUUUUCCAAGGCCAGGAAUGCACUCUUACAUUACACUAUGAAGAUGGCUUUCUUUUGCAAGAAAACCGCAGGCAACUGACCCUCUGGCAGUUUUCAUUCGAAAGACUACGAAAUUCUGGUGAUGAUGGCAUGCGUCUCGCUUGGCUUGACUUUGGUGGAGAAGAUGGAGAAAAGGAGCUGGACUUGAUGCAGUGCCCUAAACCAUUUGUGUUCACACUGCACACAUUCCUGUCUGCCAAAGUAACCCGGAUGGGCCUUGUGGCAUGACAACUACAGGACCACCACGUCGCAGCAGCUGCUCCGUUGGUGCAGCAGCAAUGGCCCAUCUUGGGAUGCUGAGCCACACCUAGGAAAAUAGCAGCUGUGCCUCUGUUGCCAGGACUGUGUAAAAAGACAAGCCAGAGCAGUGAGGCAGGCUAUGUAGCCCAACCACUGCUCUAGCUGCCAUUCGUGUCCAUGCAACCUUUCACGGCCUGCAGAUGCCCUGGCAGCAGAUGUGCCUGCACUAACAGCCGCAGGUGAAUUUUGUCACGCAUCGUGGUGGUCUCACAGGCUUGUUGCCUGGGAACACACUAAAAAAAUACAACUGGAGAGGACCCUCAGGGGGCCAGCAUUUACACAGCGUCUAAAGUUUCUACCAAGCUGCCCUUAAGGGACACUGAAGGAAGGAGCUGAAACGUGCUGCCCAUUUAACAUGCACUCCAUCAGUUGUGACCCGGUGAUCGUCGGGGUGCAACUUUUCAUCAUCUCACACAGCAGCAUUCCUUCAAGGGACAAGAAAUUACAUCUGUCAUAUAGUGGAAUUGUAAUGCCUCGCGUCAGCGUGUAGGAAAUGAAUGCUGUGAAAGAUGUCUAUGUAGCUAAGUAGCAAGCUUUUUAUCAGAUUCUCUGUGUUUAGUGGCGUUCAGCUGCAAAAAAAAAAACACA
RNAcentral lists this unclassified non-coding RNA (2214 nucleotides) under Dermacentor andersoni. Its description in RNAcentral is "beta-1-syntrophin-like". The record is from RNAcentral. Lineage: Eukaryota; Metazoa; Arthropoda; Arachnida; Ixodida; Ixodidae.